RNAcentral lists this ribosomal RNA (256 nucleotides) under uncultured Actinomycetales bacterium. RNAcentral describes it as "partial 16S ribosomal RNA". It matches the Rfam family "Bacterial small subunit ribosomal RNA", at positions 77 to 334 of the family's 1533-position model. Lineage: Bacteria; Bacillati; Actinomycetota; Actinomycetes; Actinomycetales. The record is from RNAcentral.
CUUUUGUGGGGUGCUCGAGUGGCGAACGGGUGAGUAACACGUGAGUAACCUGCCCUUGACUUUGGGAUAACUUCAGGAAACUGGGGCUAAUACCGGAUAGGAGCUCCUGCUGCAUGGUGGGGGUUGGAAAGUUUCGGCGGUUGGGGAUGGACUCGCGGCUUAUCAGCUUGUUGGUGGGGUAGUGGCUUACCAAGGCUUUGACGGGUAGCCGGCCUGAGAGGGUGAACGGCCACAUUGGAACUGAGAAACGGUCCAA